Molecule: long non-coding RNA, 5777 nt
Organism: Mercenaria mercenaria
Lineage: Eukaryota; Metazoa; Mollusca; Bivalvia; Venerida; Veneridae
Exons: 4
Source: RefSeq, a predicted model, not a curated record
UUAAGGCGUAGGCGCUGAGUGACUUGAAUAAUAUUUAUAUAUAUUUUGGAGAUUGUCGAAAACGGUCUUUACAACCGCUUGGUCUAUAUGCUAAAAGCACUUGCCGGAUAGACUAGUAUGGAUUAACACAAUACCUUUUUUCAUGAAUAAAUGGAUAUGGUUGGACGAUUAGAUGAAAACAAAACUGCUAGAGUAAAGGUGUUUUAAAUGAUUAUAUUAGACGUGUGUGAGAUGCUUUUUGAAAGGAUAGUAUGCAGUUUGACAUAUGGCAGAGGAAAUUAAGAUAUAAUUAAAUCUUUUACAGUUCGUGUUAUUGGAUUAAUCACGACAAUACGGCGUGAUUGUGUAAAAUAGUUUGGUUGGCACACGUCCAUAAAGCAAGUGUUGAUAUCGGAAAUUCAUCGACCGCAACGAAAAGAUGACUGUUAAGGACACUGGUGAAAGCGCUGCAUCCAGGCACAUGGCAAAAAGACAAAAGACUGACACUGUUGCAAAAGAUGUUCAAGACCCUGGUGGGGCGAGAUAUAACACCCCGUCGGAACUCAUGAUUGGCGUAAUAGGAGCUGCUACACGUACACCAGACAUGAAUAUAGUUGACUUUAGCGAUGAUACUUCCGAUAUUGAAAUAACACCGGGAUCAAAGCCUCUUUCUGACUCCGAUGUUCCCUCGAGACCUGAAAAAGUAAAAAGGAAAAAACACACGAAAGGAGAACAUUCAAAGAAACAUCCAAAAGAUGAUGAAAAGUCUCAGAACAAAGGCGGACAAAGUGACUCUACAAAUAUCAAUGCUAAUGCUAAAAGCUGACACAAUAAUAAAUGAUGCAAUAUAUCAAAUUUUUGUAUUGACUAUGAUCUCAUCCAGUGUAUUGUAUAUAUUGUACCAUAGUGAUUUGUCAUAAGCUGCUUUAAGUCAUUUGCAGACAACAUACUGCCCGCAUCACAGUACAUUAUAUCUAUGCAAAUGCGUUAGGAUUUACAUGUAUAUGACAGGUUCUCAUUUCAAAAAUAAUAACACUGUUAUUAUUUUUAUUUAUAGACUUUGUCAAAUAUAUGUCCAAUGCGUUUGCAUAAUCAUAGCGUACUUUAAUCAAAAUACUAGAUUUUCACAGACCGAUCAUCGAAGAGUAUUUUCUAGACGAGUUUUAAAUGCUAAAAGAAUUGAACCUUUAUGUAUAUAUUUUUUGUUAAUGCAUCUGGCAUAUUGGUUAAACAUUCCAAAUCGUUGUCUUAUAUGUACUUUUUGUGAGUAAAGGGAGACAACACUUAUACCUGAAAUUGAACUAGUUAGAUAUUAAGACGGUUGAUAAAACUUUUCAAUUAAAAAGUUUAUGUUUAAGUGUUCAUUUUAUUUUGCUUUUGAAAUAUCCUGUACAUGUCAUUUGAAGAGUUUAGACAUGCCUACAGAUUAUCAUAUACAUGUAACUGAAAUUUAUGUCAACAUGCAAGUUUAUUUUCUUUAUUCAUACAUAAGACAUAUGUACCGAUAUUUUCUCUUUAAUACAGUUAAUGCUACAAAUGUAAUACAUUUAUUAAUAUAUCAACAGAUCAUUUUAAUAGAAGUUGUUCAUUUAUUUCUAACUCAACGAAGGGAAAGCAGCAUGAGCAGUGAAUUAUUUGCUAGCAUUUGCAACCUUAAAUCUUGUUUAUUUCUUACAACAUUUGUUUGAGUCCUAGUUUUAUUUUACAUCUGUCAUAUAUAAGAUUGUUCGACCAGAUUUGAGCAUACAGGAUAUGAUUUAAUGUUCAGCUUUAUUUCAAUAUUAUGAACGUACAACAAUAGUUCAAGAUAAAUCUCUUCUUUUGUAUUUAUGGUUUUACUUAAUGGAUGUAACAUUGAUUUUUAAACGCGCUAUAUGAAAAAAUAGAUUUUGUAUUGUCAGCAAUAAUUAUACUUCUUUAAGUGUUGGGGGGAAAGUAGGAUCAAUGUUAAAGGUGUUUUUACAUUUUACUCAUUAUUGUUUCAAAGUUUAUCGUUACAGGAAUAUAGGAAUGUUUUAUCUAUCUGUUGAAAGAUACAAAACACACUGAAAUUCAAAAUCAUUUAUAUAUCGGAAUCAUGCAUAAUGCCCUAAAGCUUAUUGUAGUAGUAAAAGCACGGACUAUAUCAGUGACGGAAAGAUCAUUUGACAUUACCGGCCAUCGAGUGUAGCAGUUCUUGUAGAGCAAAAGAUAUAUCUAUAUUUUUAUAUGUUUUCUGUAGCUGAAUAUUUCAUCUUUUUGUUUAAUAACAUUUUGUGGUUCGUUUAUAUAAACGUUCAUAACAACAGAGAUCUGAAAAAUAUUCAAUCGUUCAGUUUUGAGGUUUCAAUUGUACACAACUCUAUGUUUUAGAUAUACCAUCUGUUUAAAGAUUAUAUGUGAUGGGUUGUCUUGAUUGUAGAUGUGUAUUGUCACAAGAAGUAAAGAAACAAUUCUACAUUUAAAAUUAUCUUAAAUAUAGAAAUAAAUGGAAGGAACGGUGAUAAUUCAAAAACAAAAGAAAACAUUCUAUAGUUAAAUAUUAAACUUACAUACAUAUUUAUCUGAACAUUUAAUAAAGAUGUUACUUUUUGACCGGUGUAUAUAAUUAAAUUAUGAAGAGUUCAUAUAUAAAAUAUAAGACAUAAAAUUAUGUCAAUGACAAAAUUUAUUUACUAAACAUGAUGUUGCAAUGUAGAGUUUGAUUUAAAAUGCGUGUCAUAGUUAUUCUUUGAGGGAAAAGCAAUACAAAACAGUAUGUAAACUUUUGUUAAGAAUUUACAUGUGAAGUAAAUAUAUCUGGAAAAAUAAUUAAUGAAUAUUUUCUUGCUAAUUGUAUUAAAAUAUUCAAAGUGUGUAAAGGGAAACAAUUCAAACAAAAUAUAUUAUACCUUAGAUUGCAAUAAGACUUAAUUGAUCAAAUAUUUAUAUCGCUCUAAACCAGCUUUGUUUUUUUCUUUUAUAGAAUAGUUUGUGACACAAUGUAUAUCGACAAAGGGAAAUAACACAGAAGCAAUUUUGUAUACCUAAAUAUAUUGCAAACACUAGUGAAGAUUUGUUUUCUAUGCUGUAGAUUUGAUUACACUGUCUGGAUGUUUCGCGACAAGUUUGUAAAAAAGGAACGGAAAUAAUACAAUCUGAAACACUUAUACGUCAUAUUUUCGACUUUAUUUACAAUUAUGUAUAAAUACUGACUAAAUAUAUUGUUAUUUCUAUAUCUAAAGCUCUCUAUGACAUUAUUAUGCAAAACACAUACCACACAGACAACACAAUAUAAACCAAAUAGCUGUAAACGCUUCAGUAAGUAGAUAAGUAUUGAGUUACAAUCCAUACAACUGAAGGUAAACAAAACAGAGAGUUCAUGGUUUGUAUAAUUAGUUAAAAAUUUAAUGCUUCACUUAGCUCAAGGUUUAAACAUUGUAAACAUGUGUAUGUUUUUUUUUACGAUUAUUGCUUUAAAAAACUAUGAUAAGCACUUUAAACAUUAACAUCAUUGUAAAUAUGAUUUUGAUUCUUGAAUCUUUAAACAUAUAUGCAUAUGUAUACAUAUUAAUUUGUUUCUGGUUAAAGGGAAGCAACACACACUGUAGUUUGCAUCCCAGAUACCUAGAUCUGGUGCAUAUUGUUAUAAUCGUAUGUAUUUUGUAUGUGAAUUAAAUGCUUUCUCUGUAUAAGGGUAUGAUUUAAAAUUCAACAAGCGAUUGUCUUAAUGACCGGAAAAACAGUAGUUAUGUAUCUGGUUUAUCUGUGAGGUGUUGAAUUAAAUCACGUUUUAACCAUAGUCUCAUUUUAAUCUUGCGAUUAUCAGCAUAUAUUUUUCAAAAUCCGUUUUCAAAUUCAGGGUUUUCUUUUCCUUCAUAAGAGGGGCCGUUAAUAGGCCCCUUGCCCUCAAAAUCAUUCUUUAAAAUCAUGCAUUUUUCCCCAAAAUUGACAACAUCAGGUUAUUUAUUCCCCUUUACCCAAAUAUCAAGCUAUUUUGCAAUCAAAUCACAGGCCUGGGCCCUUCCCUUUCUGAUAAAAAACCCUGAUAUUAAUAACUGCUAUUAUACCUACUGAUAUAUGCAAUGUAAUUUUAUGUUAUUAUUUUCCGCUUGUGAUUUUAUUCAUUUCACUCUGUAUUAUUAUGUUUAGGUAGCGCAUUGUAAGAUGUGGUUAUGUUAAUAGUAGUGUUUACAAAAGCGCUUUAACGCUGAUAUUCAAAUUACGACUAUGUCGUCAGUAUUCAGAUUUACAUACUUUAAUGAUGUAUAUGACACAUCUAAAAUCAAUGUUAUUUUGUUGUUAUUCAAAAUUAUAUGUCGCUUUGUUUACUUAACUUUUGCUUAAGUAUGUUUAAAUUUCUUCACUGAAAAUGAAUAUCCAACGUUUAUGUUAUGUACGUGUUUUUCCAGACUAACUUUUAUUUCUUUAUAUGGUUUUAUGUCAUGUUAUCAGACCUGAAAACACUUACAGUUCAUAAACAUUAGAUGUGCCGUACAGAUAGAGUAAUAUUAAUAGCGCUAUUCUAUUUGAAAUGUAGUGUUUUUCUUCCCUAUCUAUCAUGACACGAAAAUCUUGUAAACUAAUCUGCUUAACAUCAAAAACUUAUACAGGGAUAAAUAUGUAAUUAUUUUGGUGCUGCUACUUGUUUUCUUUUUUCAGACCAAAAUAAUAAACACACCAUUUUGAUAACACCAGACACCAAAAACAAACAUGUUUUUAUUCAGUUUUGCUUAUAAUAGUGUAAGAAAAUGAAAAAGGUCUAAAAGCAUAGCAAAACACAACCUCAACUGCACACAUAUGAAUUGUAGAAAACAUUUAUUACAAAGACAAUGUACGAUCUUACAUAUCUAAUAUCUUAUACAUGUGUUUGUAUUUGAAGUAAAAUCUGAUUGUCUUAAACACGGGUAUUGGUCUCAUUCAUGAUUAAGAUUAAUUAAACUUGAGAUAUGUAAUUGUAGAUACUCACUCCCAGAUAAAUAUUAUGCAAUCAUUGUAAAAUAUUUUAACUUCUAUUGCUAACAUUUACGUUGUAAACGGUCAAAGGGAAGCAACACUGAUAAAAAUUUGAAUACCGUUAUUUUUGCAGAUGUUGCACAUGUAUACUAAGAAUGUGUUCAAUGUGCUUGCGCACGUAGGUGAGUGCAAGCGUUCGUGCGAGUAUUUGCGUGCGUAAUGCCUGUGUGCGUGCGUGUGUCACAUCUAUCAGUUGCAAAUUUGAUUUUCACAUUACAUACUUUACAUAAAUUGUUAUUGUUUAGCCUAUCUUUGUAAAUGUUGAUUUUUAUGCUGAACACUAAAAACGGAAUAAGAUGUUAUUGUUCGAUUAUUAUUUCAGUCUAAUUGGGAUAUAUUUCUAUUUGAUCGGGCUACAGUUUAUUUAGAUAUGUUGGAUGUUUUCUGCAAAUACAAAAUGGAUAUGAGCAGAAAAUGUCCUUUGCCUGGUUUUAUUGUUCCCAUCGAGUGCAACAGAUCUUGUAGAGCUAAAUCUAAGCUUAUUGUAUUUGAUGUAUCAUUUUCAAAAAUACUUUUUCUAACUAUUUUGCGAAAUUAUUAGUCGCUUUGUGUUAAGUUAUACUCUAGAUAUGUCCAAUAAAGUGAGUAGUCAUUUUGACAUACGAGUAUUUUGUUAGUUCUUGACACAUGCAUGUAAUUCACACAUGAUUAACCCUGUAUAAAAUUGUCUUUGUUUUGGUUUUGAAGUAUUUAUAUAAUACCAUCGCUUUUGCAUAAUUUACUGCAUUUUGCUUUGUUGUAUAAAUUUAUGAAUUGUGAUAAUAUAUUGAUUUUCUGUGAGCCAAUUUCUCAAUCUAUAAAUAAAAAGUCUUUUUAAAAUAUUA